RNAcentral lists this non-coding RNA (22 nucleotides) under Rattus norvegicus (Norway rat). Lineage: Eukaryota; Metazoa; Chordata; Mammalia; Rodentia; Muridae. The record is from RNAcentral.
UUUGGGAGUAAAGUUGGUAAGC